GACAGGAUGGCCGAGUGGUUAACACCACGGUCAUUUGCGUUGUGAGCGUGAGUUCAAACCUCACUCCUGUCG
This 72-nucleotide transfer RNA is filed under the name Puccinia graminis f. sp. tritici CRL 75-36-700-3. Its description in RNAcentral is "tRNA-Ala (TGC) (tRNA-Ala-TGC-3-1)". It matches the Rfam family "tRNA". From Rfam's summary of the family: Transfer RNA (tRNA) molecules are approximately 80 nucleotides in length. Their secondary structure includes four short double-helical elements and three loops (D, anti-codon, and T loops). The record is from RNAcentral. Lineage: Eukaryota; Fungi; Basidiomycota; Pucciniomycetes; Pucciniales; Pucciniaceae.